AUUGAACGCUGGCGGCAUGCCUUACACAUGCAAGUCGAACGGCAGCACGGGAGCAAUCCUGGUGGCGAGUGGCGAACGGGUGAGUAAUAUAUCGGAACGUGCCCAGUCGUGGGGGAUAACGUAGCGAAAGCUACGCUAAUACCGCAUACGAUCUAUGAAUGAAAGCGGGGGAUCGCAAGAACUGGCGCGAUUGGAGCGGCCGAUAUCAGAUUAGGUAGUUGGUGAGGUAAAGGCUCACCAAGCCGACGAUCUGUAGCUGGUCUGAGAGGACGACCAGCCACACUGGAACUGAGACACGGUCCAGACUCCUACGGGAGGCAGCAGUGGGGAAUUUUGGACAAUGGGCGCAAGCCUGAUCCAGCAAUGCCGCGUGCAGGAUGAAGGCCUUCGGGUUGUAAACUGCUUUUGUACGGGACGAAACGGCGAGCUCUAAUACAGUUUGCUAAUGACGGUACCGUAAGAAUAAGCACCGGCUAACUACGUGCCAGCCGCCGCCGUAA
This 500-nucleotide ribosomal RNA is filed under the name uncultured bacterium. RNAcentral describes it as "partial 16S ribosomal RNA". It matches the Rfam family "Bacterial small subunit ribosomal RNA", at positions 30 to 523 of the family's 1533-position model. The record is from RNAcentral.